UGGGGAUUCUUGCACAAUGGGGGCAACCCUGAUGCAGCUAUGCCGCGUGAGCGAUGAAGGUUUUCGAAUCGUAAAGCUCUGUCCUAUGGGAAGAUAAUGACGGUACCAUAGGAGGAAGCCCCGGCUAACUACGUGCCAGCAGCCGCGGUAAUACGUAGGGGGCGAGCGUUGUCCGGAAUUACUGGGCGUAAAGGGUUCGCAGGCGGCAUGGCAAGUCCGAUGUAAAAGGCGAAGGCUCAACCUUCGUAAGCAUCGGAAACUGUCAAGCUUGAGUGAAGGAGAAGCAAGUGGAAAUCCUAGUGUAGCGGUGGAAUGCGUAGAUAUUAGGAGGAAUACCGGAGGCGAAGGCGACUUGCUGGACUUCAACUGACGCUGAGGAACGAAAGCGUGGGUAGGAAACAGG
RNAcentral lists this ribosomal RNA (403 nucleotides) under Verrucomicrobiota bacterium. RNAcentral describes it as "Verrucomicrobia bacterium partial 16S ribosomal RNA". It matches the Rfam family "Bacterial small subunit ribosomal RNA", at positions 355 to 776 of the family's 1533-position model. Lineage: Bacteria; Pseudomonadati; Verrucomicrobiota. The record is from RNAcentral.